This is a long non-coding RNA of Siniperca chuatsi (mandarin fish), 856 nucleotides long. RefSeq lists it as uncharacterized. The transcript is spliced from 3 exons. Lineage: Eukaryota; Metazoa; Chordata; Actinopteri; Centrarchiformes; Sinipercidae. The record is from RefSeq and is a predicted model, not a curated record.
GUCUCACAUUUCUUUGGUUUUCUUCUUGGAUGACUCAUCCAUCUCUGCUUCCUCCUCUGUAGUUCCAUUACUGGUUCCUGUUUGGUAAUGACCCGAAGGUACCAGAUUGGUACCAGAUUAUCAGAGAAGAAUGACAGAUUUGCAUGUAACGGUGCAUCUAAUAACCUUUCGCUUGGUUUGAUGUGGCUCUGUUGUAUGAGUUUGGUGUCGAAGAUCACCCAGAUAUUAUUUCUCCUUCUGGACGUGAUGAUUACAAUUUGAGGACUGAAGUACAGCGUUCAGGUGUCACAGAGAGUCAAGGUCUGCGCUCUGCUUCUUGAAAGGAAGGAGCUAAUCUGUCGCCUAGCAACACCUCCCACUCCUGCAUCGAAGCAGCAGCAAGAGAGAGGAUGUGGAGUAAAGAGGAGAGUUGAGGAAAAAAGAUAGACAUUUAGGGACACAGAGAGGUAGAAGGGGACGACUGGGGAGCUGAAAGAUGGACAUUAGUGUGUAAGAUCUGAAUAAUCGCGUACUACAAGCUAUGAAUGAGGAGACUAUCAUAUACAUGUACGGCUCGAUACUGCAUACAUAUAUACUACUUCCAUAUACACACUCUAGCAUUAAUAUGUGAUUGCAUACACAGUCAUGUACAAUACAUACAUAAAUAAACACAUGCAUAUACACAUCUACACAGUCUGUUCUAUUGUUUUUAUCCUGAAUCUGUUGUAACUAUUUGUUUAACCUGAAUUUAAAAGGCUAACAGGGUCGGAGGCUGCAAGUUAGUUUCAGCCAGACGUCCGAUAUACUGCACAUUACAUCUGUUGCGUUGUUUCUCCCUAUGUAACUAUGUUUAUCUGCACUCCUCCUGUUAAUAAAA